Molecule: transfer RNA, 60 nt
Filed under: Abedus herberti
Lineage: Eukaryota; Metazoa; Arthropoda; Insecta; Hemiptera; Belostomatidae
Description: tRNA-Leu
Source: RNAcentral
UAUGGCAGAUUAGUGCAAUGAAUUUAAACUUCAUAUAUAAAGAUUAUUCUUUUAUUAGAA